GCCUGGCUGGCUCAGUCAGUAGAGUAUGCGACUCUGGAUCUAGGGGCUGUGGGUUCGAGCCCCACGUUGGGUG
Molecule: transfer RNA, 73 nt
Filed under: Ursus americanus (American black bear)
Lineage: Eukaryota; Metazoa; Chordata; Mammalia; Carnivora; Ursidae
Also listed under: 2 other names
Rfam family: tRNA
About the family: Transfer RNA (tRNA) molecules are approximately 80 nucleotides in length.
Source: Rfam by way of RNAcentral